GGCCUCCUGGUUCUUACACUGACAAUACAGAAAGGAGGAAAAGUAAAUCCAUCCCGUAUACACCUCACUCCAGGCCCUGUGCCUGAUCUGUAUUGUGAAUGGGAAGACAUGG
RNAcentral lists this small nucleolar RNA (112 nucleotides) under Castor canadensis (American beaver). RNAcentral's name for it is "Small nucleolar RNA SNORA51 (ENSCCNG00000005548.1)". It matches the Rfam family "Small nucleolar RNA SNORA51". From Rfam's summary of the family: ACA51 is a member of the H/ACA class of snoRNA that guide the sites of modification of uridines to pseudouridines. The record is from Rfam by way of RNAcentral. Lineage: Eukaryota; Metazoa; Chordata; Mammalia; Rodentia; Castoridae.